AAGUCGUAACAAGGUCUCCGUAGGUGAACCUGCGGAGGGAUCAUUAACGAGUUAGGGCCUCCGCGCCCGACCUCCAACCCUCUUGUAUCACACCUCGUUGCCUCGGGGGUGGCCCUGCCUCGCGGCGGGCCCCCCAGAGGACCACUCAAACACUGCAUUUUAAUGUCGUCUGAGUUAGAUUUUAAAUGAAAUCAAAACUUUCAACAACGGAUCUCUUGGUUCUGGCAUCGAUGAAGAACGCAGCGAAAUGCGAUAAGUAAUGUGAAUUGCAGAAUUCAGUGAAUCAUCGAAUCUUUGAACGCAUAUUGCGCCCCUUGGUAUUCCUUGGGGCGCACCUGUUCGAGCGUCAUUUCACCAAUCAAGCCUCGCUUGGUUUUGGGCGAUGCGCAUGUCGCACGCCUCAAAUGCCCCGGCCGAGCAGUCUCUCUUCCGGCGUCGUGGAAACAUACCGCUAUGGAGACGAGACCUGCCCGUGCCGCAGAAUAAACCAUUUAUAAAGGUUGACCUCGGAUCAGGUGGGGAUACCCGCUGAACUUAA
This 538-nucleotide ribosomal RNA is filed under the name uncultured fungus. Its description in RNAcentral is "eukaryotic LSU rRNA". The stretch from base 196 to 349 matches the Rfam family "5.8S ribosomal RNA". The record is from RNAcentral. Lineage: Eukaryota; Fungi.